CNGCNGUCGACGAUUCCUACGGGAGGCAGCAGUGGGGAAUCUUAGACAAUGGGCGCAAGCCUGAUCUAGCCAUGCCGCGUGAGUGAUGAAGGCCUUAGGGUCGUAAAGCUCUUUCGCCAGGGAUGAUAAUGACAGUACCUGGUAAAGAAACCCCGGCUAACUCCGUGCCAGCAGCCGCGGUAAUACGGAGGGGGUUAGCGUUGUUCGGAAUUACUGGGCGUAAAGCGUACGUAGGCGGAUCAGAAAGUUAGGGGUGAAAUCCCGGGGCUCAACCCCGGAACUGCCUCUAAAACUCCUGGUCUUGAGUUCGAGAGAGGUAAGUGGAAUUCCGAGUGUAGAGGUGAAAUUCGUAGAUAUUCGGAGGAACACCAGUGGCGAAGGCGGCUUACUGGCUCGAUACUGACGCUGAGGUACGAAAGUGUGGGGAGCAAACAGGAUUAGAUACCCUGGUAGUCCACACCGUAAACGAUGAAUGCCAGUCGUCGGCAAGCAUGCUUGUCGGUGACACACCUAACGGAUUAAGCAUUCCGCCUGGGGAGUACGGUCGCAAGAUUAAAACUCAAAGGAAUUGACGG
Molecule: ribosomal RNA, 575 nt
Filed under: uncultured Antarctobacter sp.
Lineage: Bacteria; Pseudomonadati; Pseudomonadota; Alphaproteobacteria; Rhodobacterales; Roseobacteraceae
Description: bacterial SSU rRNA
Rfam family: Bacterial small subunit ribosomal RNA
Source: RNAcentral